RNAcentral lists this ribosomal RNA (450 nucleotides) under uncultured bacterium. Its description in RNAcentral is "partial 16S ribosomal RNA". It matches the Rfam family "Bacterial small subunit ribosomal RNA", at positions 354 to 796 of the family's 1533-position model. The record is from RNAcentral.
GUGGGGAAUAUUGGACAAUGGGCGAAAGCCUGAUCCAGCCAUGCCGCGUGUGUGAAGAAGGUCUUCGGAUUGUAAAGCACUUUAAGUUGGGAGGAAGGGCAGUAAGUUAAUACCUUGCUGUUUUGACGUUACCGACAGAAUAAGCACCGGCUAACUUCGUGCCAGCAGCCGCGGUAAUACGAAGGGUGCAAGCGUUAAUCGGAAUUACUGGGCGUAAAGCGCGCGUAGGUGGUUUUGUAAGUUGGAGGUGAAAUCCCCUGGCUCAACCUGGGAACUGCCUCCAAAACUGCAUGACUAGAGUACGGUAGAGGGUAGUGGAAUUUCCUGUGUAGCGGUGAAGUGCGUAGAUAUAGGAAGGAACACCAGUGGCGAAGGCGACUACCUGGACUGAUACUGACACUGAGGUGCGAAAGCGUGGGGAGCAAACAGGAUUAGAUACCCUAGUAGUCC